UUUGCCCUCAGGAUGUGAGC
Molecule: unclassified non-coding RNA, 20 nt
Filed under: Mus musculus (house mouse)
Lineage: Eukaryota; Metazoa; Chordata; Mammalia; Rodentia; Muridae
Description: oocyte_clustered_small_RNA2016
Source: RNAcentral